RNAcentral lists this ribosomal RNA (301 nucleotides) under uncultured bacterium. RNAcentral describes it as "partial 16S ribosomal RNA". It matches the Rfam family "Bacterial small subunit ribosomal RNA", at positions 509 to 807 of the family's 1533-position model. The record is from RNAcentral.
CAGUCGCCACGGUAAUACGAAGGGGGCUAGCGUUGCUCGGAAUUACUGGGCGUAAAGGGAGCGUAGGCGGACAUUUAAGUCAGGGGUGAAAUCCCAGAGCUCAACUCUGGAACUGCCUUUGAUACUGGGUGUCUUGAGUGUCAUAGAGGUAUGUGGAACUCCGAGUGUAGAGGUGAAAUUCGUAGAUAUUCGGAAGAACACCAGUGGCGAAGGCGACAUACUGGAUCAUUACUGACGCUGAGGCUCGAAAGCGUGGGGAGCAAACAGGAUUAGAUACCCCUGUAGUCCCUGUCUCUUAUAC